RNAcentral lists this ribosomal RNA (30 nucleotides) under Perennicordyceps cuboidea. Its description in RNAcentral is "Polycephalomyces cuboideus partial 18S ribosomal RNA". The record is from RNAcentral. Lineage: Eukaryota; Fungi; Ascomycota; Sordariomycetes; Hypocreales; Polycephalomycetaceae.
UCGUUGGUGAACCAGCGGAGGGAUCAUUAC